AAGUCGUAACAAGGUAACCGUAGGUGAACCUGCGGUUGGAUCAUUAACAAAAUGAUAAAGGCAAGGGCCGUAAAACGUCCUUGCUUUUAUAAACACCUGUGAACUGUAAUUGUAUCUGGUGGAUCUCGGUCCACCAUCAAUCAUUUGAACUUUUAUAUCUUGAAUUAGUUUUUAAAUUAUAUUAAUUUUAAACAACUUUUGACAACGGAUCUCUAGGCUCUC
This 222-nucleotide unclassified non-coding RNA is filed under the name fungal sp. RNAcentral's name for it is "partial internal transcribed spacer region". The stretch from base 1 to 46 matches the Rfam family "Eukaryotic small subunit ribosomal RNA", at positions 1786 to 1831 of the family's 1831-position model. The record is from RNAcentral. Lineage: Eukaryota; Fungi.